CAUAAAGAAAAAAAGAGAGAAAAAGCAAAGGGUAUAAAAAAAAAAAAAAAUUAAAAAAAAAAAGGAAGAAAAGGUGAAAUUAGAAACCCACACAAUAUUUUUCCUAUCUAUACUCUUGUUCUCGUCUGGUUGUGUUGGAUAACUGCACUUGCCAAGAUGGCUAAAAAAAAAGGAACAAAACCCACACAAAAGAGAGAGAAGAAAAAAA
Pelobates cultripes (western spadefoot toad) is the source of this 208-nucleotide non-coding RNA. The record is from the annotation of a GenBank genome assembly. NCBI's taxonomy places the organism in Eukaryota, Metazoa, Chordata, Amphibia, Anura, Pelobatidae.